This 494-nucleotide ribosomal RNA is filed under the name uncultured bacterium. Its description in RNAcentral is "bacterial SSU rRNA". It matches the Rfam family "Bacterial small subunit ribosomal RNA", at positions 15 to 518 of the family's 1533-position model. The record is from RNAcentral.
GAUCAUGGCUCAGGAUGAACGCUGGCGGCGUGCUUAACACAUGCAAGUCGAACGGAGUUUAGAUGAAGGCUUGCUUUGACUAAACUUAGUGGCGGACGGGUGAGUAACGCGUGGGUAACCUGCCUUAUACCGGGGGACAACAGCUGGAAACGGCUGCUAAUACCGCAUAAGCGCACAGAUAGGCAUCUAUCAGUGUGAAAAACUCCGGUGGUAUAAGAUGGACCCGCGUCUGAUUAGCCAGUUGGCGGUGUAACGGACCACCAAAGCGACGAUCAGUAGCCGGCCUGAGAGGGCAAACGGCCACAUUGGGACUGAGACACGGCCCAAACUCCUACGGGAGGCAGCAGUGGGGAAUAUUGCACAAUGGAGGAAACUCUGAUGCAGCCGACGCCGCGUGAGUGAAGAAGUAUCUCGGUAUGUAAAGCUCUAUCAGCAGGAAAGAAAAUGACGGUACCUGACUAAGAAGCCCCGGCUAACUACGUGCCAGCCGCAGC